AUUAAAGUUGUUGCAGUUAAAAAGCUCGUAGUUGGACUUGUGUGCGCUGUCCGCGGGUGGCCUGCGCCCAAAAGGGCGUUUCGGUUCGGCCCCGGUGGCGCCUUGAAAUCUGCAGCUGGGGGGACGUUGGCCUUAACUGGUCGGCGACCGCACGCCGGCUGCUCGGUUACUGUGAGAAAAUUAGAGUGUUCAAGGCAGGCAUUGGGUGCAAUUGAAUACAUUAGCAUGGAAUAAUAAAAUAUGGCUCCUGCCGUAUUUUGUUGGUUUUGACUGGUGGGAGUAAUGAUUGAUAGGGACGGUUGGGGGUGCUAGUAUUGAGCGGCCAGAGGUGAAAUUCAUGGAUUCGCUCAAGACUAACUUAUGCGAAAGCAUUCACUAAGGACGUCCUCUUUAAUCAAGAACGAAAGUUGGGGGAUCGAAGACGAUCAGAUACCGUCGUAGUCUCAACCAUAAACUAUGUCGACUUGGGAUCGGCGGUAGUUCUUUCAUUAAGACACUGUCGGGACCACGGGAGAAAUCAAAGUGUCUGGACUCUGGGGGAAGUAUGGUCGCAAGGCUGAAACUUGAAGGAAUUGACGGAAGGGCACCACCAGGAGUGGAGCCUGCGGCUUAAUUUGACUCAACACGGGGAAACCUACCAGGUCCAGAGAUGUAGAGGAUUGACAGAUUGAAGCUCUUUCUUGAUCACUUCGGUGGUGGUGCAUGGCCGUUCUUAGUUGGUGGAGUGAUUUGUCUGGUUAAUUCCGUUAUCGAACGAGACCUCAGCCUGCUAGUGUAGUCGGCUGGAUUGCCUUUGGCGAUCCGUGAUUUCGACUUCUUAGAGGGACAAUCGACGCGCAGUCGAUGGAAGUUUGAGGCAAUAACAGGUCUGUGAUGCCCUUAGAUGUUCUGGGCCGCACGCGCGCUACACUGCUGGGCUCAGCGAGUUUUACUUGGCCGAGAGGCCCGGUUAAUCUUGUGAAAUCCCAGCGUGCUUGGGCUCGCCUCCUGCAACUGGAGGCGCCAACGAGGAAUUCCUAGUAGACGCAGGUCAUCAACCUGCAUCGAUUACGUCCCUGCCCUUUGUACACACCGCCCGUCGUUCCAUAAGAGUGAGGCAUCCGGUGAAUUCUCGGGAGAGCCUGGGCGUGGCCAGCAAUGGUCUGCUCGGGUUUGAACUUGCAUAAACUUGGUGCCUAUGAUUAGGG
Molecule: ribosomal RNA, 1187 nt
Filed under: metagenome
Description: SSU rRNA
Rfam family: Eukaryotic small subunit ribosomal RNA
Source: RNAcentral